Molecule: long non-coding RNA, 1386 nt
Organism: Pogoniulus pusillus (Red-fronted tinkerbird)
Lineage: Eukaryota; Metazoa; Chordata; Aves; Piciformes; Lybiidae
Exons: 2
Source: RefSeq, a predicted model, not a curated record
AAAUCUGCCUGCUGCUGCCUGAACGGUCCUGGUUUGCACCCAGACCUCAGCCCCAGCAGAGUGCAGCUCCCCAAGGGAUGAGCUCUGCCCAGGUUUCAGCUCCUCUCAGGUUCUCCACUGCCUCUCCUGGAUGUCCUUGGCGGGGGAGUGGGACCCAGGCCGACGUCCCUGCAGCAUGCAGUGCCCAGAGCCUCUCGCCGCCAGCAGCAGUGAGCCCUGCGUCGUGUCCUGCGCUGCCUCCAGGGUCAUCAUCUACCCUCCUCCGGUCCUCAUCACCUUCCCGGGGCCCAUCCUCAGCACCUGCCCCCAGGAGACGGUGCUGGGAAGCUCUGCAGGGCCGCAGGGAGGGGCAGCAGCAGCUCCUCUGCCAGCCCUAAGACCAGAAGCUCUGUGCUCUAAGCCACCUGCAGAGAGCUUCACCCCCAGACCCACGCCUGGGGGUGCCCAGAGGGUCUCCUAUGUGUUUGCCUCCCGCUGGCUGCACCCCUGCAGCAGACCUGGCUACAGAGGCUGCCAGCCACCCGGGGCUGAGAGGGAGGAGCAGGCUGCAGAGGAGGAGAAGCAGCCAGCAGCUGAAAGCACAGACACAGAACAGGAGGGCAGAGAGACCCCAGAAGCAUGACACAGCCACGGCGAGCCCAGAGGCCUGGUGGAGUCCUUCUGCCUCUCCAAGCAAACGGUUCCUGCCCUGAGUGCUGCCUGCCCCUGGCUUGCUGGGCUCUGUCCUUCCCCCGGGUGCCUUCCAGGGAGGUGAUGAGGGCAAUAAAAUCCUCCCUCUCCUAAGUCCUGUGAGCAGCCCGGGCUGGGCUCAGCAGGGCAGAGGAUGUUUUACGAGCAGCACAAAGGUGCUGAGCUGGGACCCAUCCAGCUGAGAGCAGCUCCAGCUUUCACUGCCAGGCUUAACGAGCCUCAAGCACGCAGCGGCACCAAUCAGCAGGGAAUUCACUUUCCCUCUUGCUGCACAGACUGAGGCACACAGAAAGGGCUUUGGUGCUGGGCUUCGGGGAGGAGGUUGGGCUGGGGGAGCAGAGGUGGAUCCUCUGUGGGUGUUUGGCUUUACAGAAGGAUGAGGAAGGGGGGGAAAAUGUCUGGUGACAUCUCCCACUCGAAAAGGGGAGUGGAAGCUGGAUCCAAGGCACAGAAGCUGCACCUGGAGCUGUUCCCUCCAUGCUGCUGUUUCUUCUGCCAGGCUCAUCCUGUCCUUUCCCUUCCCAUUAAAAGGAUUCUGCAGCACCCUGGUGGCUUUUCUGCUUCCUUCCCCUCUUGACUUUCAGCUGAGAUCUGGGUUGAGGAAUCCAUCACUAAAGACCUCUGAGGUGGAGCCCAACCACCACCGCAUGGCCCCCUGAGCCACAGCCCAAGAGCACCCUGCAGGUGUGGCUGGGC